GAUCCAUGGCUCAGGAUGAACGCUGGCUACAGGCUUAACACAUGCAAGUCGAGGGGCAGCAUGGUCUUAGCUUGCUAAGACUGAUGGCGACCGGCGCACGGGUGAGUAACACGUAUCCAACCUGCCGUCUACUCUUGGACAGCCUUCUGAAAGGAAGAUUAAUACAAGAUGGCAUCAUGAGUCCGCAUGUUCACAUGAUUAAAGGUAUUCCGGUAGACGA
Molecule: ribosomal RNA, 220 nt
Filed under: uncultured bacterium
Lineage: Bacteria
Description: partial 16S ribosomal RNA
Rfam family: Bacterial small subunit ribosomal RNA
Source: RNAcentral